This 253-nucleotide ribosomal RNA is filed under the name uncultured bacterium. RNAcentral's name for it is "partial 16S ribosomal RNA". It matches the Rfam family "Bacterial small subunit ribosomal RNA", at positions 524 to 776 of the family's 1533-position model. The record is from RNAcentral.
UACGGAGGGAGCUAGCGUUGUUCGGAAUUACUGGGCGUAAAGCGCGCGUAGGCGGCUUUGUAAGUUAGAGGUGAAAGCCCGGGGCUCAACCCCGGAACAGCCUUUAAGACUGCAUCGCUAGAAUCCGGGAGAGGUGAGUGGAAUUCCCGGUGUAGCAGUGAAAUGCGUAGAGAUCGGGAGGAACAUCAGUUGCGAAGGCGGCUCUCUGGACCAGCACUGACACUGAGGCACGAAAGCGUGGGGAGCAAACAGG